RNAcentral lists this transfer RNA (79 nucleotides) under Ameiurus melas (black bullhead). RNAcentral's name for it is "tRNA-Thr". It matches the Rfam family "tRNA". From Rfam's summary of the family: Transfer RNA (tRNA) molecules are approximately 80 nucleotides in length. Their secondary structure includes four short double-helical elements and three loops (D, anti-codon, and T loops). Lineage: Eukaryota; Metazoa; Chordata; Actinopteri; Siluriformes; Ictaluridae. The record is from RNAcentral.
GGUGCUGUGGUUGGUUUAAGUUGGUUUAAGCACCUGUCUAGUCAACAGGAGAUCCUGGGUUCAAAUCCCUGCAGUGCCU